AUUACUGCUAUUGGAGUUUGACUAAGCCAUGCGAGUCAGAGGUCAUUAUGAUACUGGCAAAAGGCUGAGUAACACGAAGUCAACCUGCCCUUAAGUCAGGCAUAUCCUUGGGAAACUGAGGUUAAUUCCUGAUAGGAAAUAUUCUCUGGAAUGAAAUAUUUCCGAAAGUUACGACGCUUAAGGAUGGGACUGCGGUGGAUUAGGUUGUUGUUAAGGUAACGGCUUAACAAGCCUGUAAUCCACAGGGGCUGUGAGAGCAGAAGCCCCCAGAUGGAUUCUGAGACACGAAUCCAGACCCUACGGGGUGCAGCAGGCGCGAAACCUCCACAAUGCACUAUAUGUGUGAUGGGGAGACUCCAAGUGGUAGCAUAACGCUAUCUUUUGAAAAGUUAAAACAUCUUUUCGAAUAAGUGGUGGGUAAGACGGUUGCCAGCCGCCGCGGUAAUAACCGCGCCACAAGUGGUAAUCUCGAUUAUUGGGUCUAAAGCAUCCGUAGCCGGUGCUAUAAGUUUUCUGUGAAAUCCAAAUGAAAACAUUUGGGCGUGCAGGAAAUACUGUAGCACUUGAGAUUGGGAGGAGCAAGAGGUACUCGAGGGGAAGGGGUAAAAUCCGUUAAUCCCUCGGGGGUCACCAGUGGCGAAGGCGUCUUGCUAUAACAAGUCUGACGGUGAGGGAUGAAAGCCAGGGGAGCGAAGAGGAUUAGAUACCCUUGUAGUCCUGGCUGUAAACGAUGUCCGUUAGGUAUUGUAGUUUUUAAGAGAAACUUCAGUGCCGUAGGGAAGCCGUUAAGCGGACCACCUGGGGAGUACGGUCGCAAGGCUGAAACUUAAAGGAAUUGGCGGGGGAGCACACAAGGGGUGACGUCUACGGUUCAAUUGGAGUCAACGCCGGA
Molecule: ribosomal RNA, 892 nt
Filed under: uncultured archaeon
Lineage: Archaea
Description: bacterial SSU rRNA
Rfam family: Archaeal small subunit ribosomal RNA
Source: RNAcentral